Molecule: ribosomal RNA, 468 nt
Filed under: uncultured bacterium
Lineage: Bacteria
Description: partial 16S ribosomal RNA
Rfam family: Bacterial small subunit ribosomal RNA
Source: RNAcentral
GACGAACGCUGGCGGCGUGCUUAACACAUGCAAGUCGAACGGAAAGGCCCUGCUUUUGUGGGGUGCUCGAGUGGCGAACGGGUGAGUAACCCGUGAGUAACCUGCCCUUGACUUUGGGAUAACUUCAGGAAACUGGGGCUAAUACCGGAUAGGAGCUCCUGCUGCAUGGUGGGGGUUGGAAAGUUUCGGCGGUCGGGGAUGGACUCGCGGCUUAUCAGCUUGUUGGUGGGGUAGUGGCUUACCAAGGCUUUGACGGGUAGCCGGCCUGAGAGGGUGACCGGCCACAUUGGGACUGAGAUACGGCCCAGACUCCUACGGGAGGCAGCAGUGGGGAAUAUUGCACAAUGGGCGGAAGCCUGAUGCAGCAACGCCGCGUGCGGGAUGACGGCCUUCGGGCUGUAAACCGCUUUCGCCUGUGACGAAGCGUGAGUGACGGUAAUGGGUAAAGAAGCACCGGCUAACUACGUG